GUGAGGAAUAUUGGUCAAUGGGCGGGAGCCUGAACCAGCCAAGUAGCGUGAAGGAAGAAGGAUCUAUGGUUCGUAAACUUCUUUUGCAGGGGAAUAAAGUGCAGGACGUGUUCUGUUUUGUAUGUACCCUGAGAAUAAGGAUCGGCUAACUCCGUGCCAGCAGCCGCGGUAAUACGGAGGAUCCGAGCGUUAUCCGGAUUUAUUGGGUUUAAAGGGUGCGUAGGUGGUUUGAUAAGGCAGCGGUGAAAGUUUGCAGCUUAACUGUAAAAAUGCCGUUGAAACUGUCGGACUUGAGUGUAAAUGAGGUAGGCGGAAUGCGUGGUGUAGCGGUGAAAUGCAUAGAUAUCACGCAGAACUCCGAUUGCGAAGGCAGCUUACUAAGCUACAACUGACACUGAAGCACGAAAGCGUGGGGAUCAAACAGGAUUAGAUACCCCGGUAGUCC
RNAcentral lists this ribosomal RNA (445 nucleotides) under uncultured bacterium. RNAcentral describes it as "partial 16S ribosomal RNA". It matches the Rfam family "Bacterial small subunit ribosomal RNA", at positions 354 to 796 of the family's 1533-position model. The record is from RNAcentral.